Molecule: ribosomal RNA, 497 nt
Filed under: uncultured bacterium
Lineage: Bacteria
Description: partial 16S ribosomal RNA
Rfam family: Bacterial small subunit ribosomal RNA
Source: RNAcentral
GACGAACGCUGGCGGCGUGCCUAAUACAUGCAAGUUGAGCGCUGAAGGUUGGUACUUGUACCAACUGGAUGAGCAGCGAACGGGUGAGUAACGCGUGGGGAAUCUGCCUUUGAGCGGGGGACAACAUUUGGAAACGAAUGCUAAUACCGCAUAAAAACUUUAAACACAAGUUUUAAGUUUGAAAGAUGCAAUUGCAUCACUCAAAGAUGAUCCCGCGUUGUAUUAGCUAGUUGGUGAGGUAAAGGCUCACCAAGGCGAUGAUACAUAGCCGACCUGAGAGGGUGAUCGGCCACAUUGGGACGGGGACACGGCCCAAACUCCUACGGGAGGCAGCAGUAGGGAAUCUUCGGCAAUGGACGAAAGUCUGACCGAGCAACGCCGCGUGAGUGAAGAAGGUUGUCGGAUCGUAAAACUCUGUUGGUAGAGAAGAACGUUGGUGAGAGUGGAAAGCUCAUCAAGUGACGGUAACUACCCAGAAAGGGACGGCUAACUACGUG